GACGAACGCUGGCGGCGUGCUUAACACAUGCAAGUCGAACGGAAAGGCCCUGCUUUUGUGGGGUGCUCGAGUGGCGAACGGGUGAGUAACACGUGAGUAACCUGCCCUUGACUUUGGGAUAACUUCAGGAAACUGGGGCUAAUACCGGAUAGGAGCUCCUGCUGCAUGGUGGGGGUUGGAAAGUUUCGGCGGUUGGGGAUGGACUCGCGGCUUAUCAGCUUGUUGGUGGGGUAGUGGCUUACCAAGGCUUUGACGGGUAGCCGGCCUGAGAGGGUGACCGGCCACAUUGGGACUGGGAUACGGCCCAGACUCCUACGGGAGGCAGCAGUGGGGAAUAUUGCACAAUGGGCGGAAGCCUAAUGCAGCAACGCCGCGUGCGGGAUGACGGCCUUCGGGUUGUAAACCGCUUUCGCCUGUGACGAAGCGUGAGUGACGGUAAUGGGUAAAGAAGCACCGGCUAACUACGUG
This 468-nucleotide ribosomal RNA is filed under the name uncultured bacterium. RNAcentral's name for it is "partial 16S ribosomal RNA". It matches the Rfam family "Bacterial small subunit ribosomal RNA", at positions 28 to 507 of the family's 1533-position model. The record is from RNAcentral.